AGUACCUGACCAGAAAGCCACGGCUAACUACGUGCCAGCAGCCGCGGUAAUACGUAGGUGGCAAGCGUUGUCCGGAAUUAUUGGGCGUAAAGCGCGCGCAGGCGGUUUCUUAAGUCUGAUGUGAAAGCCCCCGGCUCAACCGGGGAGGGUCAUUGGAAACUGGGAAACUUGAGUGCAGAAGAGGAGAGUGGAAUUCCACGUGUAGCGGUGAAAUGCGUAGAGAUGUGGAGGAACACCAGUGGCGAAGGCGACUCUCUGGUCUGUAACUGACGCUGAGGCGCGAAAGCGUGGGGAGCGAACAGGAUUAGAUACCCUGGUAGUCCACGCCGUAAACGAUGAGUGCUAAGUGUUAGAGGGUUUCCGCCCUUUAGUGCUGCAGCUAACGCAUUAAGCACUCCGCCUGGGGAGUACGGUCGCAAGACUGAAACUCAAAGGAAUUGACGGAC
This 446-nucleotide ribosomal RNA is filed under the name Bacillus sp. MN08-04. Its description in RNAcentral is "bacterial SSU rRNA". It matches the Rfam family "Bacterial small subunit ribosomal RNA", at positions 474 to 918 of the family's 1533-position model. The record is from RNAcentral. Lineage: Bacteria; Bacillati; Bacillota; Bacilli; Caryophanales; Bacillaceae.